AGGGGACCUCGCCUGCAUCCAUUCGCCUAUCCAUCCUACAGCAGCGACUGCACCCCUGAUUGUGAUGACGAAUGCACCCCCAUCCUUGGGCUCCGUGCCCACUGCUGGGCUGGGCUGCUCCCUCAGGUGCGGCAGCCAGAGGAGCCUGCCCAGCCAGGAUAUGCGGCAGGAGGUUCAUUUUUGAAAGUAUAAGAAGGGCCGCCGGGAAUGAGUGUCUCACGGGGACAGAGUGUGCGUUUGGGAAGAUGAGACGGUUGUGGAGAUGGAUGGUGGGGAUGGUUACACAACAACGUGAAUAUGCUUAAAGCCACGUUCACGGAACACGUACAAAUGACUAAAAUGGUAACUUUCUGGUAUGGAUAUUUUACCACAAUAAAAAAAAAAUGCUAAAAAAA
Long non-coding RNA from Homo sapiens (human), 395 nucleotides. Ensembl annotates it as IER5L antisense RNA 1. Its record names the gene IER5L-AS1. NCBI's taxonomy places the organism in Eukaryota, Metazoa, Chordata, Mammalia, Primates, Hominidae. The record is from Ensembl.